Molecule: ribosomal RNA, 520 nt
Filed under: uncultured bacterium
Lineage: Bacteria
Description: bacterial SSU rRNA
Rfam family: Bacterial small subunit ribosomal RNA
Source: RNAcentral
ACUGAAUAGAUACCCGGGUAGUCCACGCUGUAAACGAUGAGUGCUAGAUGCCGGAUUUUUUCGGUGUCGCAGCUAAACGCAUUAAGCACUCCACCUGGGAAGUACGAUCGCAAGGUUGAAACUCAAAGGAAUUGACGGGGGCCCGCACAAGCAGUGGAGCAUGUGGUUUAAUUCGAUGCAACGCGAAGAACCUUACCUAGGCUUGAAAAGCUUAUGACCGGCUGUGAAAGCAGCUUUCCCGCAAGGGCAUAAGUACAGGUGCUGCAUGGCUGUCGUCAGCUCGUGCCGUGAGGUGUUGGGUUAAGUCCCGCAACGAGCGCAACCCUUACCAUUAGUUGCCACCGGAGCAAUCCGAGCACUCUAAUGGAACUGCCUACGCAAGUAGUGAGGAAGGUGAGGAUGACGUCAAGUCCGCAUGGCCCUUACGCCUAGGGCUACACACGUGCUACAAUGGCCGCCACAACGGGCAGCAAAAUCGCGAGAUGGAGCGAAUCCCUAAAAAGCGGCCUCAGUUCGGAUC